AUUGAACGCUGGCGGAAUGCUUUACACAUGCAAGUCGAACGGCAGCACGGGUGCUUGCACCUGGUGGCGAGUGGCGAACGGGUGAGUAAUACAUCGGAACGUACCUUAUCGUGGGGGAUAACGCAGCGAAAGUUGCGCUAAUACCGCAUACGCCCUGAGGGGGAAAGCGGGGGACCGUAAGGCCUCGCGCGAUUAGAGCGGCCGACGUCUGAUUAGCUUGUUGGUGAGGUAAAAGCUCACCAAGGCGAUGAUCAGUAGCUGGUCUGAGAGGACGAUCAGCCACACUGGGACUGAGACACGGCCCAGACUCCUACGGGAGGCAGCAGUGGGGAAUUUUGGACAAUGGGGGCAACCCUGAUCCAGCAAUGCCGCGUGAGUGAAGAAGGCCUUCGGGUCGUAAAGCUCUUUUGUCAGGGAAGAAACAGCAGCUCUAACACAGUCUGCGAAUGACGGUACCUGAAGAAUAAGCACCGGCUAACUACGUGCCAGCCGCCGCAGUAA
RNAcentral lists this ribosomal RNA (501 nucleotides) under uncultured bacterium. RNAcentral's name for it is "partial 16S ribosomal RNA". It matches the Rfam family "Bacterial small subunit ribosomal RNA", at positions 30 to 523 of the family's 1533-position model. The record is from RNAcentral.